CAUGAUUUAGCCAGUACCCCCAAGCAAAGAGACCUUUAGUUUGAUACCCCGAAACCAGGUGAGCUACCCCGAGACAGCCUAUGUUAAUUUAGGGCUAACCCGUCUCUGUGGCAAAAGAGUGGGAAGAGCUCCGGGUAGAAGUGAAAGACCUACCGAACCUGGUGAUAGCUGGUUGACUGAGAAAUGGAUAGAAGUUCAGCCUCGCACACCCCGAACCAAAGAAUAUUAUCACCAAGAUAUUUAGGGAAAAGUGCGAGAGUUAGUUGAAAGGGGUACAGCCCUUUUAACAAAGGAUACAACCUUAACAGGAGGAUAAAGAUCAUAAUAUAUAAAAUAUACUGUUCUAGUGGGCCUGAAAGCAGCCACCUAAGCAGAAAGCGUUAAAGCUCGGACAGAAAGAAGUUUAUUAUACAGAUAAAAAAUCUUAUUCCCCUAACUAUAUCAGACCAACCCAUGCCCGCAUGGAAGAGAUUAUGCUAAAAUGAGUAAUAAGAAGACCCGCUCUUCUCCCGGCACAAGUGUAAACCAGAUCGGACCAACCACUGGAACUUAACGAACCCAACCCAAGAGGGUAGUGUGAUUAACAAAAAACUCAAGAAGACCUCACAUUAGCUAAUCGUUAACCCCACACUGGAGUGCUAUUUUUAAGGGAAAGACUAAAAGAAGGGGAAGGAACUCGGCAAACACAAGCCUCGCCUGUUUACCAAAAACAUCGCCUCCUGCAACUAAACUGAGUAUAGGAGGUCCAGCCUGCCCAGUGACUACGGGUUCAACGGCCGCGGUAUCUUGACCGUGCAAAGGUAGCGCAAUCACUUGUCUCUUAAAUAGAGACCUGUAUGAAUGGCUAGACGAGGGCUUAACUGUCUCCCCCCUCCGGUCAGUGAAAUUGAUCUAUCCGUGCAGAAGCGGGUAUAAAUAUACAAGACGAGAAGACCCUUUGGAGCUUAAGGUACAAAGUACAACCACGUUAAACAACUUUAUAAGAAGCAAGAACUUAGUGGUAAUGAAUUUUUACCUUCGGUUGGGGCGACCGCGGAGGAAAAACAAGCCUCCGAGUGGACUGGGCCUAACCCCUGAAGCCAAUAGAGACAUCUAUGGGCCGCAGAACAUCUGACCAAAAAUGAUCCGGCUAAAAAGCCGACCAACGAACCAAGUUACCCAAGGGAUAACAGCGCAAUCCCCUCCCAGAGCCCAUAUCUACGAGGGGGUUUACGACCUCGAUGUUGGAUCAGGACAUCCUAAUGGUGCAGCCGCUAUUAAGGGUUCGUUUGUUCAACGAUUAAAGUCC
Molecule: ribosomal RNA, 1288 nt
Filed under: Rhynchocypris oxycephala (Chinese minnow)
Lineage: Eukaryota; Metazoa; Chordata; Actinopteri; Cypriniformes; Leuciscidae
Description: Phoxinus oxycephalus (Chinese minnow) partial 16S ribosomal RNA
Rfam family: Bacterial large subunit ribosomal RNA
Source: RNAcentral